CCUACGGGUGGCAGCAGUGGGGAAUAUUGCACAAUGGGGGAAACCCUGAUGCAGCGACGCCGCGUGAGUGAAGAAGUCCUUCGUUAUGUAAAGCUCUUUCAGCAGGGAAGAAAAUGACGGUACCUGAGCAAGAAGCCCCGGCUAACUUCGUGCCAGCAGCCGCGGUAAUACGUAGGGGGCAAGCGUUAUCCGGAUUUACUGGGUGUAAAGGGAGCGUAGACGGGAGUGCAAGUCAGGAGUGAAAGGCGGGGGCUCAACCCCCGGACUGCUCUGGAAACUGUAAGGCUUGAGUGCAGGAGAGGUAGGUGGAAUUCCUGGUGUAGCGGUGAAAUGCGUAGAUAUUAGGAAGAACACCAGUGGCGAAGGCAGCUUACUGGACUGUAACUGACGUUGAGGCUCGAAAGCGUGGGGAUCAAACAGGAUUAGAUACCCGUGUAGUC
Molecule: ribosomal RNA, 440 nt
Filed under: uncultured bacterium
Lineage: Bacteria
Description: partial 16S ribosomal RNA
Rfam family: Bacterial small subunit ribosomal RNA
Source: RNAcentral